CCAAUCUCAGGCAAUGGCCGAAAGCUGUUUUCCGGCGAUCACGUCUUCUCCGUUGGCAGUCACAAAUUCAUUUCUUGAUGAUGAAGAUGGAGGUCUCUUUCAUCAUCUUGAGGAAUCCAGGGUGAAGGCAGGGAAAAUAAAUACAGAGAGUUUUUCUUGGUUUUAAGAGCCAUGAAAAUAUAACUUCAGUAAGCCCGGUUUUCGCUCAAUUUGAGAUAAAUAUUGCAAGGAGGCGCAAGUUUUUAUAUUUGAAGUUGACGCUGCAUUGCCCAUCGCAUUUUGAAGAUUCUGGAAUCGGCACUAGGUACAUGGGAAGAAAUAACUAUUUGAGGAAGAAGGAAGAUGGUUGGCUGAAUGUAGGGCCGGCCCAAGGGUAAGCCCAUCAAGCCACAUUGGGCUUAGGCAUCCCCAUCCCUAAAAACAAUUAUAUUUCUAUUAUAUCUUUAUUUUAAUUAUUAUACAUCUGGUUCAGGGGUUUAGUGGUAUGAUUCUUAUUUUUGGUGUAUGAAUUGGAUUCUUGAAAUUCCCAUAGUAUUGUUAUUUUGUGAUAUUUUUCACUAUGAAAAAUAAUUUGGGAUUAGGAUUGGGCUAGAGUAGCUCAAAUUCCCAAUCCUCUACUUUUGAAGUUUAGAGGCAAUAAAUGCAGUGGUUAGGUUUUAUGGAUUGGAUAGAACCUUACCAACCUUGUGAUGUAAUUCAUGUCUCUUUCUCUAUACAAUUACCUUCCCAUUUUAGCAAUUGUUAUGUUAUUUUGUGGAUUGUUUUGGUUUGUUGA
Molecule: long non-coding RNA, 775 nt
Organism: Impatiens glandulifera
Lineage: Eukaryota; Viridiplantae; Streptophyta; Magnoliopsida; Ericales; Balsaminaceae
Exons: 4
Source: RefSeq, a predicted model, not a curated record